Molecule: small RNA, 994 nt
Filed under: Pongo abelii (Sumatran orangutan)
Lineage: Eukaryota; Metazoa; Chordata; Mammalia; Primates; Hominidae
Description: processed transcript
Source: RNAcentral
CUACAGAUUCUCGUUGACACUGGAAGCAGUAACUUUGCCGUGGCAGGAGCCCCGCACUCCUACAUAGACACGUACUUUGACACAGAGAGGUCUAGCACAUACCGCUCCAAGGGCUUUGACGUCACAGUGAAGUACACACAAGGAAGCUGGACGGGCUUCGUUGGGGAAGACCUCGUCACCAUCCCCAAAGGCUUCAAUAGUUCUUUUCUUGUCAACAUUGCCACUAUUUUUGAAUCAGAGAAUUUCUUUUUGCCUGGGAUUAAAUGGAAUGGAAUACUUGGCCUAGCUUAUGCCACACUUGCCAAGCCAUCAAGUUCUCUGGAGACCUUCUUCGACUCCCUGGUGACACAAGCAAACAUCCCCAACAUUUUCUCCAUGCAGAUGUGUGGAGCCGGAUUGCCCGUUGCUGGAUCUGGGACCAACGGAGGUCCUGGGUGGAAUUGAACCAAGUUUGUAUAAAGGAGACAUCUGGUAUACCCCUAUUAAGGAAGAGUGGUACUACCAGAUAGAAAUUCUGAAAUUGGAAAUUGGAGGCCAAAGCCUUAAUCUGGACUGCAGAGAGUAUAACGCGGACAAGGCCAUCGUGGACAGUGGCACCACGCUGCUGCGCCUGCCCCAGAAGGUGUUUGAUGCAGUAGUGGAAGCUGUGGCCCACGCAUCUCUGAUUCCAGAAUUCUCUGAUGGUUUCUGGACUGGGUCCCAGCUGGCGUGCUGGACGAAUUCGGAAACACCUUGGUCUUACUUCCCUAAAAUCUCCAUCUACCUGAGAGAUGAGAACUCCAGCAGGUCAUUCCGUAUCACAAUCCUGCCUCAGCUUUACAUUCAGCCCAUGAUGGGGGCCGGCCUGAAUUAUGAAUGUUACCGAUUCGGCAUUUCCCCAUCCACAAAUGCGCUGGUGAUCGGUGCCACGGUGAUGGAGGGCUUCUACGUCAUCUUCGACAGAGCCCGGAAGAGAGUGGGCUUCGCAGCGAGCCCCUGUGCAGAAAUUGCAGGU